CUCAACCGCAAGGAGGGGGAUGCCUAAGGCAGGGCUAGUGACUGGGGUGAAGUCGUAACAAGGUAGCCGUACCGGAAGGUGUGGCUGGAUCACCUCCUUAAAGGGAGACCUAAUUCAGGUAGGAGACGAAAAAAAAGUAGUCCCUACCAAGAAUCAAUCCCAAAAGGUCGGAGCGAGGCGAAAUUGGCUUUCAAACUAGGUUCUGGGUUCACACAAGACCUGAAUCAGGAACAAGGGCUAUUAGCUCAGGUGGUUAGAGCGCACCCCUGAUAAGGGUGAGGUCCCUGGUUCGAGUCCAGGAUGGCCCACCUGUACAGGUGGCAAAAACAAAGAAAAGAAGCUCCGAAUCAGCACCUUAUCUUAUUUAUAUAGUAAGAGAGAAUGCUGGCUCUGAGUAAAGAGUCCAGAGGAACCUUGAAAACUGCAUAGAGCUAGGUGAAAAAGCCAAAAAAGAAGACCGCAAGGUCAAGCUAAUAAGGGCUAACGGUG
RNAcentral lists this small RNA (489 nucleotides) under uncultured Microcystis sp. RNAcentral's name for it is "bacterial LSU rRNA". The stretch from base 1 to 100 matches the Rfam family "Bacterial small subunit ribosomal RNA", at positions 1434 to 1533 of the family's 1533-position model. The record is from RNAcentral. Lineage: Bacteria; Bacillati; Cyanobacteriota; Cyanophyceae; Chroococcales; Microcystaceae.